CCACCUUGCCCGGGGCCCGUCUGAGACGCUGUCUCCUGACCCAUAACAGAGAGGGCAGUCUUCACCCGGGACUGACUGUGAUCAUGGAUAAGAUACAGGGAGGGCUGUCGUGAAGACCAUUCUGGUGACUUCCAGGGAAAGGCAGGGGCGGCCUGCACCCCUGGACUGCCUGGGCCCGUGAUUGACUUGGGGUGGCCUCACCCUCUGCCUCAGUUGUUCCCUCCGUAAAAUGGGCACAGAGCUCUCCGACAAAAUCUCACUACGAAGCCCAGGCUGGUCUGGAACUCUCAGUGAUUCUCCCACCUCAGCCUCCUGAAUGCUAAGAUGACAGCUUCCUGGUCCUUGAUGCAGACCAGAAAAAAGGAAGAGGAGGAAGAGAAGGAGGAGGAAGAGGAAGAAGAGAAGGAAGAAGAGGAAGAAGAGAUGGAAGAAGGGGAAAGGAGAUCUGGAGCUGUCUCUUUAAAUCUUUCUAGAAGUCCAACAGAAAUAGAACAUUUAUCUGUGUGAAGGCUACACAGGCUUAACUAAAAAUGUCAAGUUUCUUUGCUGGAAUUUUAACAGGGAACAUGAUAAGUGUACAUUUAUUCAGUAAUGAUCAAUUCCGGGUUCUCUUUUGUAUGAGAUGAAAUGGUGACAUGCUGCUCAGAAGCUCUGCUUGGUUUUGUUUCAUACAAAAUCACCUCUUGAAGUUAUAAUUGCUGGAUGAAUGUUAUCUGAUUGUCCUAAACUCUUGCUCUUCUCUCUGUGUUGUGUGCCCUGGGGAGAGGCUACAAAGAUGGGAUAAUAAAAAAGUAAAAUGUUUGCUUUAAAAAAAA
Non-coding RNA from Heterocephalus glaber (naked mole-rat), 815 nucleotides. Lineage: Eukaryota; Metazoa; Chordata; Mammalia; Rodentia; Bathyergidae. The record is from RefSeq and is a predicted model, not a curated record.